GGGGUGCUCGAGUGGCGAACGGGUGAGUAACACGUGAGUAACCUGCCCUUGACUUUGGGAUAACUUCAGGAAACUGGGGCUAAUACCGGAUAGGAGCUCCUGCUGCGUGGUGGGGGUUGGAAAGUUUCGGCGGUUGGGGAUGGACUCGCGGCUUAUCAGCUUGUUGGUGGGGUAGUGGCUUACCAAGGCUUUGACGGGUAGCCGGCCUGAGAGGGUGACCGGCCACAUUGGGACUGAGAUACGGCCCAG
RNAcentral lists this ribosomal RNA (249 nucleotides) under uncultured Actinomycetales bacterium. RNAcentral describes it as "partial 16S ribosomal RNA". It matches the Rfam family "Bacterial small subunit ribosomal RNA", at positions 84 to 334 of the family's 1533-position model. The record is from RNAcentral. Lineage: Bacteria; Bacillati; Actinomycetota; Actinomycetes; Actinomycetales.